Long non-coding RNA from Arabidopsis thaliana (thale cress), 241 nucleotides. RefSeq annotates it as other RNA. The record is from RefSeq. The transcript has a single exon. Lineage: Eukaryota; Viridiplantae; Streptophyta; Magnoliopsida; Brassicales; Brassicaceae.
GUUCUUGUUGAGCUGCAUUGCUGCAAGGUUUAAGAAAUUCAAAACAGUGAGGAGAUGUUGAAGAUAAGUCACAGAUGUCUUCAAUGUUUAAGGUACAAAGAAAGUAGACAAGGCAAACAAAGUCAUACAUAGUUCUAUUUCAUGUACUUGAACAGGUUCUAAGAUCAAACAUCAGAGUGUAUUAGAGAAUUACCUGGGCCUGUGAAGAAGUUGCUGAUGGAGUUAGAAACACCAAAUAUUU